RNAcentral lists this long non-coding RNA (1240 nucleotides) under Monodelphis domestica (gray short-tailed opossum). Its description in RNAcentral is "lncRNA (ENSMODG00000038797.1)". Lineage: Eukaryota; Metazoa; Chordata; Mammalia; Didelphimorphia; Didelphidae. The record is from RNAcentral.
AAAUUGAAAGAAUCCACCAAUAAUUUCCUGAAAAAGAUCCCAAAAACUCCUAGUCAGAUUCCAGAACUCCUUGAUCAAAGAGAAAAUAUUACAAGCAGCAAAAAAGAAACAAUUCAUAAGAGUCACAAAUCAUGGAGCCACAGUCAGGAUAAUAUAAGAUUUUGCAGUUUCUACAUUAAAGUACUAGAGGGCUUGGAAUGUUAUAUUCUAGAAGGCAAAAGAUCUAGGACUACAACCAAAAACCCGCCAGCAAAACUAAGUAUGAUCCUUCUUAGGAAAAAAAAAAAAAAAAAAAAAAAGAAAACAGACCAGCAUUUCCCAGUCCUUUUAUUGGUUCAAGUCCUGAUAUGAACAAGAACAGCUGGGUGGUGCAACAGGGAAAGCACCAACUGGGCCUGAAGUCAGGAAGACCCGAGUUCACAUAGCUGUGUGACCCCGGGCAAUACCCAAUUUGCUUUGUUCCUCCUCUAUAAAAUAUACACUGGAGAAGAAAACAGCAAGCCACUCAAGUGCCUUUGCCAGGUCCACUGGUCACAAAGAGCUGAACGUGACUGAAUGAAAAGAAUGGCUGACAUGGGCAAGGUCGAAAGUUUCUGUAGGAAAGUUAACAUUUUAAAAGUAUCCUCCAUCUGCAAACGUAUUUAAGAAUCCUCCCACUGAGGGUUCUCCUGGUGUUCACUGGGUCGAACCUCUGGAAAACUGAUGGGAAGCUGAACCAGAAUUGAAUGGAGAGGCUGUGAUGAGUAUGGGCGGUCCCACAAGUGAAAACUGUACACAGGAAUCUAGAGGGAAGGGACAGUGAUAGAGAGCAGAGUGCUGGUCAACUAACAGUGACAACAGUGAACUACUUAACUACUCCUCACUGUUGCAAGGGAGGCCUCUGCUAGACAGCAGGGGAGGAACUAGGAAGUAAGGGGGACAUCUUUAAAACUCAGCUCUGCAAUGCUUAUCAACUUCUUUAAACAAUGAAAAAAUGCACCCCCAAAAGAUCUUAUUUCAAGUGAGAACUACACAGGUAUUACCUUCUACCCUGCCCCCAAAAAAAGGCUAUAUUCUUCAAUACCCAAAUGGCAUGUUUUCAUUCAGAAGAAAAUGGAAUCAACAGUAAAGUCAAGAAUGAUAGGAAGAGAAAAGGAACAAAACAGAGUAGACUGAGAUAGGUUAACGGGAGAAAAAGAGAUGAGAAUCAGAGCAGGAAAUGCUCGCAUGACCAACAGCCCUGACAGUAUGAUGCUGGUUA